Pimephales promelas (fathead minnow) is the source of this 395-nucleotide non-coding RNA. The record is from RefSeq and is a predicted model, not a curated record. Lineage: Eukaryota; Metazoa; Chordata; Actinopteri; Cypriniformes; Leuciscidae.
GAUAGUGAUGAAAGUGACGGUGGUGAUGAAGAGAAUGAACACGAGACCAACGGAGAUGAAGAACCCGCGACUGGGAAGAUUUCAUCCACAGACGAUAUGACAUCAUGAUGGGCGAAGCUCUCACUGGAAGACAUCAUGGACGACACGGCCACCUUGAAGAAGAUCAUGAUCGCUGAUCCUGGAGUCAAAGAAGAAAAUUAUUGCAAUUUCAUAUUUAACUCGCAUGUAAAUACAGACUGUAAGAAAUAAUUCAUACUCACCUCAUAAAUAUGAUGAAAAAAAAAAUAACCACAUGGAAAUAACUAAAAUGUCAAGUGUAAAUAAACUACAAUCUUACAAGAUGUUUUAAAAGAUAUUACAGAUUACAAUGAAUAAACUGAAAUUAUUAUUUCAUA